Molecule: unclassified non-coding RNA, 376 nt
Filed under: soil metagenome
Description: partial contains 5.8S ribosomal RNA, internal transcribed spacer 2, and large subunit ribosomal RNA
Rfam family: 5.8S ribosomal RNA (bases 1-120)
Source: RNAcentral
GAUGAAGAACGCAGCGAAAUGCGAUAAGUAAUGCGAAUUGCAGAAUUCAGUGAAUCAUCGAAUCUUUGAACGCAUCUUGCGCUCCUUGGUAUUCUGAGGAGCAUGCCUGUUUGAGUGUCAUUAAAUUCUCAACUACACUGACUUUGAAUUGGUGUGGCUUGGAUUUGGGGGGAAAAUUGUUGUGGGCUUUUUGUAUAGUCUGCUCCCCUGAAAUUGAUUAGCGGUACCUUUGUGGAACUGUCUACAGGUGUGAUAAUUAUCUACAUCUUAGACAUCUGCUGGAAUGCUGCUUUCUAAACCUUACUUGUAUUGACAAUCUUGACCUCAAAUCAGGUAGGACUACCCGCUGAACUUAAGCAUAUCAAUAAGCGGAGGA